RNAcentral lists this ribosomal RNA (253 nucleotides) under uncultured bacterium. Its description in RNAcentral is "partial 16S ribosomal RNA". It matches the Rfam family "Bacterial small subunit ribosomal RNA", at positions 524 to 776 of the family's 1533-position model. The record is from RNAcentral.
UACGGAGGGUGCAAGCGUUAUCCGGAUUCCCUGGGUUUAAAGGGUGCGUAGGUGGGCAGGUAAGUCAGUGGUGAAAUCUCCGGGCUUAACUCGGAAACUGCCAUUGAUACUAUCUUUCUUGAAUACCGUGGAGGUCAGCGGAAUAUGUCAUGUAGCGGUGAAAUGCUUAGAUAUGACAUAGAACACCAAUUGCGAAGGCAGCUGGCUACACGAAUAUUGACACUGAUGCACGAAAGCGUGGGGAUCAAACAGG